GCCGAGGUAGCUCAGCCUGGGAGAGCACCCGGCUGAAGACCGGGCUGUCGCUGGUUCAAAUCCGGCCCUCGGCACCA
This 77-nucleotide transfer RNA is filed under the name Candidatus Bathyarchaeota archaeon. RNAcentral describes it as "tRNA-Phe". It matches the Rfam family "tRNA". Rfam says of the family: Transfer RNA (tRNA) molecules are approximately 80 nucleotides in length. Their secondary structure includes four short double-helical elements and three loops (D, anti-codon, and T loops). Lineage: Archaea; Thermoproteati; Candidatus Bathyarchaeota. RNAcentral also lists the same sequence under 1 other name. The record is from RNAcentral.